This 202-nucleotide long non-coding RNA is filed under the name Ananas comosus (pineapple). RNAcentral's name for it is "long non-coding RNA (ACOM_LNC038288)". The record is from RNAcentral. Lineage: Eukaryota; Viridiplantae; Streptophyta; Magnoliopsida; Poales; Bromeliaceae.
AAAGGCAAAUGCAUAACUGUCCUACAAUGCACGCGAACACAGGAUGCAAGAUCUCAAAAUACUAAGACAUAAAAGGGAGCCCGAUUGCUUCGGGAUGGACACCACCCACCUCGUGGCGAUGUCGCGACGGUAGAAAACUCGAUGCUGCGGUCCUCGCACGUCGCUUCAACUCCUCGGGGCGAAGCGAGCCCUCGAGUACCCG